This 478-nucleotide ribosomal RNA is filed under the name uncultured bacterium. RNAcentral's name for it is "partial 16S ribosomal RNA". It matches the Rfam family "Bacterial small subunit ribosomal RNA", at positions 28 to 523 of the family's 1533-position model. The record is from RNAcentral.
GACGAACGCUGGCGGCGUGCUUAACACAUGCAAGUCGAACGGUAAGGCCCUUCGGGGUACACGAGUGGCGAACGGGUGAGUAACACGUGGGUGAUCUGCCCUGCACUUCGGGAUAAGCCUGGGAAACUGGGUCUAAUACCGGAUAGGACCACUGCCUGCAUGGGUGGUGGUGGAAAGCUUUUGCGGUGUGGGAUGGGCCCGCGGCCUAUCAGCUUGUUGGUGGGGUGAUGGCCUACCAAGGCGACAACGGGUAGGCGGCCUGAGAGGGGGACCGGCCACACUGGGACUGGGAUACGGCCCAGACUCCUACGGGAGGCAGCAGUGGGGAAUAUUGCACAAUGGGCGCAAGCCUGAUGCAGCGACGCCGCGUGAGGGAUGACGGCCUUCGGGUUGUAAACCUCUUUCAGCACCGACGAAGCGCAAGUGACGGUAGGUGCAGAAGAAGGACCGGCCAACUACGUGCCAGCAGCCGCCGUAA